AUGCUGUUCACUGCACUGACCUAGCUGAUGACGGUAUGCAGGAGGUUGAGUACUUCUUCAAGAUUCUCCGGUAACUACGGAAACAGACAAGACUUCAGUGAAGGUUACAGUGCAUCCUGAGUAAUCGGCGUCACAAUGCAUUUUCGUUGAUGUGUCUUCUGUAACCGCUGGAAUGAACAUUCAGCCACCGUUGCAGCAAUGUGUUGAGAGAUGCAAAGGCGAGGUUUGAUGAGCUGAUUUCGAUGUGAUAUUAAUCCUGAAACAUAAUGCAAUGCCAUAGUAAAUGACUGUCGUUGAAUUCAUUCCUUUUCGCUUUCAUUAUAAGAACGGAAUUUAUCUGUCUGUUUGAACCACACAUAUACUAUGCAUCGUGGUGUCUGCGGGCUCUGUGAUGUCAUGAUGUUAUGGUGUCAUGAUGUCAUGUUUUGAUGUCAUGAUGUUAUGAUGUCAUGAUGUUAUGGUGUCAUGAUGUUAUGAUGUCAUGAUGUUAUGAUGUCAUGAUGUCAUGAUGUUACGGUGCCAUGAUGUUAUGAUACCAUGAUGUCAUGAUGUUAUGAUGUCAUGAUGUUACGGUGUCAUGAUGUCAUGAUAGAUCAUCUUUGUCUUACGUGAGUACAAAAUGGCAAUCAUGUGCAGGCUCUGUGCAUUCGUUGUGAGUUAUCUGAUCCAGCUGCAGGGUGUGCAUUUGUGUUUGUUACAGUGUUACACACUGCAUGUAUAGCAUGUAUGCUGCAGUUGAUAGUUUUGUAUUGAUAGUACACAUUAUCAUGACAUCGUAUAGUUCUCAUCCUAUCUUCAAUGUAGCUAGUAGUAAUAAUAAUUGUAGUAGAAUUUGAGUAUUUCGCUCCUGCUCUUGUAGCAGUUCAGCACUCUCGUGUGGGGUAGUGCAUUUUCUGUUUGCGUUAUCCAGAGCUCACUGACUUGUCAGUUUGAGCACUCUCA
Sycon ciliatum is the source of this 942-nucleotide long non-coding RNA. RefSeq lists it as uncharacterized. The record is from RefSeq and is a predicted model, not a curated record. The transcript has 2 exons. Lineage: Eukaryota; Metazoa; Porifera; Calcarea; Leucosolenida; Sycettidae.